UUGCUUGCUUUGGCAGCACAUAUACUAAAAUUGGAACAAUACAGAGGAGAUUAGCAGGCCCCUUUACCAGGAUGGCACGCAAAUUAGUGAAGUGCUCCAUAAAAAU
Mandrillus leucophaeus (drill) is the source of this 106-nucleotide small nuclear RNA. The record is from Ensembl. NCBI's taxonomy places the organism in Eukaryota, Metazoa, Chordata, Mammalia, Primates, Cercopithecidae.